UGCAUUGCGGGAGGCCUACCAUGCAGUCGAACGGUAACAGGAAGCAGCUUGCUGCUUCGCUGACGAGUGGCGGACGGGUGAGUAAUGUCUGGGAAACUGCCUGAUGGAGGGGGAUAACUACUGGAAACGGUAGCUAAUACCGCAUAACGUCGCAAGACCAAAGAGGGGGACCUUCGGGCCUCUUGCCAUCGGAUGUGCCCAGAUGGGAUUAGCUAGUAGGUGGGGUAACGGCUCACCUAGGCGACGAUCCCUAGCUGGUCUGAGAGGAUGACCAGCCACACUGGAACUGAGACACGGUCCAGACUCCUACGGGAGGCAGCAGUGGGGAAUAUUGCACAAUGGGCGCAAGCCUGAUGCAGCCAUGCCGCGUGUAUGAAGAAGGCCUUCGGGUUGUAAAGUACUUUCAGCGGGGAGGAAGGCGAUAAGGUUAAUAACCUUGUCGAUUGACGUUACCCGCAGAAGAAGCACCGGCUAACUCCGUGCCAGCAGCCGCGGUAAUACGGAGGGUGCAAGCGUUAAUCGGAAUUACUGGGCGUAAAGCGCACGCAGGCGGUCUGUCAAGUCGGAUGUGAAAUCCCCGGGCUCAACCUGGGAACUGCAUUCGAAACUGGCAGGCUAGAGUCUUGUAGAGGGGGGUAGAAUUCCAGGUGUAGCGGUGAAAUGCGUAGAGAUCUGGAGGAAUACCGGUGGCGAAGGCGGCCCCCUGGACAAAGACUGACGCUCAGGUGCGAAAGCGUGGGGGAGCAAACAGGAUUAGAUACCCUGGUAGUCCACGCCGUAUACGAUGUCGACUUGGAGGUUGUGCCCUUGAGGCGUGGCUUCCGGAGCUAACGCGUUAAGUCGACCGCCUGGGGAGUACGGGCCGCAAGGUUAAAACUCAAAUGAAUUGACGGGGGGCCCGCACAAGCGGUGGAGCAUGUGGUUUAAUUUCGAUGCAACGCGAAGAACCUUACCUACUCUUGACAUCCAGAGAACUUACAGAGAUGCUUUGGUGCCUUCGGGAACUCUGAGAACAGGGUGCUGCAUGGGCU
This 1031-nucleotide ribosomal RNA is filed under the name Enterobacter sp. RNAcentral's name for it is "bacterial SSU rRNA". It matches the Rfam family "Bacterial small subunit ribosomal RNA", at positions 34 to 1051 of the family's 1533-position model. Lineage: Bacteria; Pseudomonadati; Pseudomonadota; Gammaproteobacteria; Enterobacterales; Enterobacteriaceae. The record is from RNAcentral.